Myodes glareolus (Bank vole) is the source of this 874-nucleotide non-coding RNA. NCBI's taxonomy places the organism in Eukaryota, Metazoa, Chordata, Mammalia, Rodentia, Cricetidae. The record is from RefSeq and is a predicted model, not a curated record.
GAUUUCUCCUGGGAUGGUACACUGCACUUAUGUGACAAUCUCCUAGGGUCUUAAUAUAUCAAGUCUUUGAGAUGGAGAAUCCAACGUAUCUUCCUUGUUCAAUGACAGCUGGCGGAGAAAACAAACCCAGUCAAGGUCCCUAGACCACAUCAGCAGAGAGAAUACUGAAGAAGCCCCAAUCCAGUUCAUGUAACCUGAGCUUCCAGGCAAGUGGCAUGAUUGCAAAGCAGGGUCUCUGAGGAUGUGGGCCCUCCUCAGCUUACACAAGGACUUGGAGAGGAUGACCCUGACAUAGACAGGGCUUUGAAGAGAGACCUCAGUCCACCGAGAGAAAAUAUGUUUGCAGCAAGAGACACCGAGCCUCGGAUGAAUGAUGGUGAACCAGACGGUGCAUGGGACCUACGCUUUCUCUGGCCACCACAGGUGAACACAGCUUGAUCAGCUUCCAAAAUGAGCAUUAGAAUCACUGUGGAUAUCUCUGCAAAUAAAACCCCUGGUUUCCAAGCAAUUAAUACUGAUUCCAACCAGUGGGACAAUGUUGAGGGACCACAACCAGGAGAGUCUGCUGUUUCUGCUCUAUGCUAGUUUAGCCACAGACUGUGCACUGCAGAUGUCGAAGGGAGCGCAAACAGCAUGAGAGAGCCACAAUCUUAUCUUCCUGUGAAUCUAGAAGGUCAGAAGUGACUUAGUCUGGUAAUAAACUCCUGCCUCCCAGACAGCAUAGAGUUUUCUCUCCUUAGAUUCUUCUUUCUUUAGACACCACACUCUCUCUCACACACACACCAUUAUAAUUAUUGCUUAAAUUUAUUUUAAAGGAAAAUAACAAUCCUGUAAGGGGGACAGCCAAACACAGAAGCACCAGAUAUAAUGUGAU